Molecule: ribosomal RNA, 305 nt
Filed under: uncultured bacterium
Lineage: Bacteria
Description: bacterial SSU rRNA
Rfam family: Bacterial small subunit ribosomal RNA
Source: RNAcentral
GUCCUACGGGAGGCAGCAGUGGGGAAUAUUGCACAAUGGGGGAAACCCUGAUGCAGCGACGCCGCGUGAGUGAAGAAGUAUUUCGGUAUGUAAAGCUCUAUCAGCAGGAACGAGACAAGACGGUACCUGACUAAGAAGCCCCGGCUAACUACGUGCCAGCAGCCGCGGUAAUACGUAGGGGGCAAGCGUUAUCCGGAUUUACUGGGUGUAAAGGGAGCGUAGGCGGUGCAGCAAGUCAGAAGUGAAAGCCCGGGGCUCAACUCCGGGACUGCUUUUGAAACUGUUGAACUAGAUUGCAGGAGAGG